Molecule: small RNA, 25 nt
Filed under: Arabidopsis thaliana (thale cress)
Lineage: Eukaryota; Viridiplantae; Streptophyta; Magnoliopsida; Brassicales; Brassicaceae
Description: ATSL251880
Source: RNAcentral
UAGAAGAGUAUACUGAACUGGUGCU